This 253-nucleotide ribosomal RNA is filed under the name uncultured bacterium. RNAcentral's name for it is "partial 16S ribosomal RNA". It matches the Rfam family "Bacterial small subunit ribosomal RNA", at positions 524 to 776 of the family's 1533-position model. The record is from RNAcentral.
UACGUAGGGUGCAAGCGUUGUCCGGAAUUAUUGGGCGUAAAGAACUCGUAGGCGGUUUGUUGCGUCGGCUGUGAAAUCCCGAGGCUCAACCUCGGGUCUGCAGUCGAUACGAGCAAACUAGAGUGUUGCAGGGGAGACUGGAAUUCCUGGUGUAGCGGUGAAAUGCGUAGAUAUCAGGAGGAACACCGGUGGCGAAGGCGGGUCUCUGGGCAACAACUGACGCUGAGGAGCGAAAGCGUGGGGAGCGAACAGG